RNAcentral lists this ribosomal RNA (460 nucleotides) under uncultured bacterium. RNAcentral describes it as "partial 16S ribosomal RNA". It matches the Rfam family "Bacterial small subunit ribosomal RNA", at positions 338 to 795 of the family's 1533-position model. The record is from RNAcentral.
CCUACGGGUGGCAGCAGUGAGGAAUAUUGGUCAAUGGACGAGAGUCUGAACCAGCAAAGCAGCGUGAAGGAUGACUGUCCUAUGGGUUGUAAACUUCUUUUAUAAAGGAAUAAAACGAGGCACGUGUGCCUUAUUGCAUGUACUUUAUGAAUAAGCAUCGGCUAACUCCGUGCCAGCAGCCGCGGUAAUACGGAGGAUCCGAGCGUUAUCCGGAUUUAUUGGGUUUAAAGGGAGCGUAGGUGGGUUGUUAAGUCAGUUGUGAAAGUUUGGGGCUCAACCGUAGAAUUGCAGUUGAUACUGGCAGUCUUGAGUACAGGAGAGGUAGGCGGAAUUCGUGGUGUAGCGGUGAAAUGCUUAGAUAUCGCGAAGAACCCCGAUGGCGAAGGCAGCUUACUGGACUGUAACUGACAUUGAGGCUCGAAAGUGUGGGUAUCAAACAGGAUUAGAUACCCUAGUAGUC